GUAGACCCCUUGAAGGCCGUCAAGUACAAAUUAACAGUCUAUCUCCAUAGGGAGGCAACAGAAUCGGAGGCUCCUGCAACUUAUUCUUUUAUUUUUUCAAUGCCCCUUGGCAAUCACUAUUUCGCCUGACCGUUUGAUUUUUUUUCCUCAUCUGGAAUAUGGGUUCACACGUGGCUGCUAGGCGAAAUGUGAACCAUGACAUGUAGUUCAAUCUACCCAGGAGACCACGAACCUCUCUUUUUUAUUCUCGGUUCAGGCAUUUCUUUUUUUUUUUUUUUUUUUUUUUUUUUUUUUUUUUUUUUUUUUNUUUUUUUUUUUUUUAGCAGGAUCAACCUCGAUUCCUCUUUUCCAAUGAACCCCAGCAGCUUACCGGCCCGCACUCUGAUAGUGCACUUAUCUGAAUUCAACCUC
RNAcentral lists this long non-coding RNA (411 nucleotides) under Lathyrus oleraceus (garden pea). RNAcentral describes it as "Pisum sativum (pea) long non-coding RNA (PSAT_LNC015354)". The record is from RNAcentral. Lineage: Eukaryota; Viridiplantae; Streptophyta; Magnoliopsida; Fabales; Fabaceae.